Molecule: long non-coding RNA, 1906 nt
Filed under: Homo sapiens (human)
Lineage: Eukaryota; Metazoa; Chordata; Mammalia; Primates; Hominidae
Description: HSALNT0358500
Source: RNAcentral
CUCCACCUCAAAAAAAAAAGAAAGAAAAGAAAAACCAAAGGACCAGAAAAAGAGACAGCCUAGCAAGAUAGGAGUCCAUUUGGGGAACUUGGACUUCAAACCCAAACAGCACUUAUGAGGCACCCCUCCUGCUCCUUGCCGAGGUACUACCAGAGGAAGCCUGCUGGAGACUCAGGAUUAACACCACUCAGUGGUAUAUCGGAGCCCAGGCUGGAGUAUAAUGGCGCAAUCUCGGCUCACUGCAACCUCUGCCUCCUGGGAUCAAGCAAUUCUCCUGCCUCAGCCUCCCAAGCAGCUGGGAUUACAGGUACGUGCCACCACGCCCAGCUAAUUUUUUUGUACUUUUAGCAGAGAAAAGGUUUCACCAUGUUGGCCAGGGUGGUCUUGAACUCCUGACCUCAAGUAAGCCACCCACCUUGGCCUCCCAAAGUGCUAGGAUUACAGGUGUGAGCCAUCACGCCCACCCUUUUUUUUUUUUAAGAUAGGGCCUCACUCUUUACCCAGGCUGGAGUGCAGUGGCGCAAUCACAGCUUACUGCAGCUUUGACCUCCUGGGCUCAGGUGAUCCUCCCACCUCAGCCUCCUGAGUUCUGGGACUAUAGGUGCACACCACCACACCCGGCUAAUUUUUGUAUUUUUAGUAGAGACGAGGUCUCACUAUGUUGCUCAGGCUGGUCUCAAACUCCUGGGCUCAAGGGAUCCACCCACCUCAGCUUCCCAAAGUGCUGGGAUUACAUGCAUGAGUCACCCCACCCAGCUGGUAAAAUCUUUAUUUUUAAAUAUGCUACACUGGCAGGCUGCGGUGGUUCACGCCUGUAAACCCAACUUUGGGAGGCCAAGGGGGGUGGAUGCCUUGAGCCGAGGAGUUCAAAACCAGCCUGAGCAACAUAGUGAGACCUCGUCUCUACUAAAAACACAAAAAAUUAGCCGAGCAUGGUGGCACGCGCCUGUAAUCCCAGCUACUGGGGAGGCUGAGGUGGGAGAAUUGCUUGAACCCGGGAGGCGAAGGUUGCUAUGAACUGACAUCACGCCACUGCACCAGGCUUCGGCAACGAAGUGAGACUCUGUCUCUAAAUAAAUAAAUAAAUAUGCUACAUCCAAAAUCUAAUCAAUAUAAUGGAAAAUGAGAAACUGGCUCAAGACUUCAAACUCCAUUAAAUAUUGUGAAAAUGGAUUGGAUUUGCAGCCAAAUUUUAAUGUAUGGUUUUGGAAAUCUCUGGCUUUCAUGCUAAUAUUAUAUUGAUGGAACUGACAUCAAUUCCAUUUAAUCUCAAAGUUCCAAACUAAAACAGAUUUGCAAGUAUUUCCAAAAACUCAGUGACACCAGUUAACCUAUAGGAAGGCCCUAAAUUAGCAGAAUCCAUGGUUCUCACCUCCAACUAGAAUUUAUCUGUCAAAAAUUUCAAGACAACAGAACAAGUAUCAAGAUAACAGAUACUCAUGUUACUACCUCUUGUCCUCUGCCACAACUCAUAAGCUUAACUAAAUGCACUUCAAAAAUUUAAGACACUCACACCUGUAAUCCUAGCACUUUGGGAGGCUGAGGUGGGAGGACUGCUCGAGGCCAGGAGCUCUAAACCAGCCUGGUCAACAUAGCUGAUACCCCAUCUCUACAAAAGAAAAAUUUAAAAAAAUUAGCCAGGUGUGGUGGCACACGCCUAUAGUCCCAGCUACUCAGAAAGCUGAGGCAGGAGGACUGCUUGAGCCCAGGAGUUCAAGGCUGCAUAAGCCAUGAUCGCGCCACUGUAUUCCAGCCUGGGAGACAGUGAGACCCUAUCUUUAAAAAAAAAAAACUACCAAAAAAUACUUAGACAAAUAUAAAUAUAAUUCACUGCCCUGCCCCACAACACUCUUUUCUGAGGUACAUAUCAUAAAACAUUGUUUUAUGGUGAAACACUGUGGUGAAA